CCUACGGGAGGCAGCAGUGGGGAAUUUUGGACAAUGGGGGCAACCCUGAUCCAGCAAUGCCGCGUGUGUGAAGAAGGCCUUCGGGUUGUAAAGCACUUUUGUCCGGAAAGAAAACGUUCUGGUUAAUACCUGGGGCGGAUGACGGUACCGGAAGAAUAAGCACCGGCUAACUACGUGCCAGCAGCCGCGGUAAUACGUAGGGUGCGAGCGUUAAUCGGAAUUACUGGGCGUAAAGCGUGCGCAGGCGGUUUUGUAAGACAGGCGUGAAAUCCCCGAGCUCAACUUGGGAAUUGCGCUUGUGACUGCAAGGCUAGAGUAUGUCAGAGGGGGGUUAGAAUUCCACGUGUAGCAGUGAAAUGCGUAGAGAUGUGGAGGAAUACCGAUGGCGAAGGCAGCCCCCUGGGACGUCACUGACGCUCAUGCACGAAAGCGUGGGGAGCAAACAGGAUUAGAUACCCUGGUAGUCCACGCCCUAAACGAUGUCAACUAGUUGUUGGGGAUUCAUUUCUUCAGUAACGUAGCUAACGCGUGAAGUUGACCGCCUGGGGAGUACGGGUCGCAAGNUUAAAACCUUAAAGGAAUUGACGGCUGAGAGNGCGACGCGACGACGAGGGAGAGG
This 619-nucleotide ribosomal RNA is filed under the name uncultured bacterium. RNAcentral's name for it is "bacterial SSU rRNA". It matches the Rfam family "Bacterial small subunit ribosomal RNA", at positions 338 to 946 of the family's 1533-position model. The record is from RNAcentral.